UACGGGGGGGGCAAGCGUUGUUCGGAAUUACUGGGCGUAAAGGGCGCGUAGGCGGCCUGCUAAGUCACACGUGAAAUCCCUCGGCUCAACCGGGGAACUGCGUGUGAUACUGGCGGGCUUGAAUUCGGGAGAGGGAUGUGGAAUUCCAGGUGUAGCGGUGAAAUGCGUAGAUAUCUGGAGGAACACCGGUGGCGAAGGCGGCAUCCUGGACCGGUAUUGACGCUGAGGCGCGAAAGCCAGGGGAGCAAACGGG
This 253-nucleotide ribosomal RNA is filed under the name uncultured bacterium. Its description in RNAcentral is "partial 16S ribosomal RNA". It matches the Rfam family "Bacterial small subunit ribosomal RNA", at positions 524 to 776 of the family's 1533-position model. The record is from RNAcentral.